Molecule: small RNA, 566 nt
Filed under: uncultured Frankia sp.
Lineage: Bacteria; Bacillati; Actinomycetota; Actinomycetes; Frankiales; Frankiaceae
Description: bacterial SSU rRNA
Rfam family: Bacterial small subunit ribosomal RNA (bases 1-393)
Source: RNAcentral
AGGAGACUGCCGGGGUCAACUCGGAGGAAGGUGGGGAUGACGUCAAGUCAUCAUGCCCCUUACGUCCUGGGCUGCACACAUGCUACAAUGGCCGGUACAAAGGGCUGCGAUACCACAAGGUGGAGCGAAUCCCAAAAAGCCGGUCUCAGUUCGGAUCGGGGUCUGCAACUCGACCCCGUGAAGUCGGAGUCGCUAGUAAUCGCAGAUCAGCAAUGCUGCGGUGAAUACGUUCCCGGGCCUUGUACACACCGCCCGUCACGUCACGAAAGUCGGUGACACCCGAAGCCGGUGGCCCAACCCUUGUGGGGGGAGCCGUCGAAGGUGGGACCGGCGAUUGGGACGAAGUCGUAACAAGGUAGCCGUACCGGAAGGUGCGGCUGGAUCACCUCCUUUCUAAGGAGCUUUCUGACUGGGGCCUUCUGUAGUGGGGGGUUUCUGGUGCAGAGCGAAGACCGGCCGGAUGGUUGGUCUGGGGUGCUCAUGGGUGUGGAACGCUGACUAUGUUCUUUCUGGUCUGGUUGUUGUCCGGGGUUCCUCUGUGUUCUUCGGGUGGUGGCUGGUCUGGG